UCAUGCUCUUCAUAGCCUGACAGUGGAUAAGCCACUUAUAAUAAUUAUUGUACAUUACAAACUUGUCAGGUGUCAGGAAAACUUUCAGAGUUGAAGACUACCAUCGAUGUAGGAUUGCUUCAUUGGAACACCUUAGUCUAUUGGACAUCAGUAUGAGCAGUGGAGCCUUCUGUUGAGGAGGGAAAAAGCCAUUUAUCACACCCUAAAUAUGCUUAGCUUUAAUGUGACGAGAAAAUGUCUCCUUGCAGAAGGUUGGUGUCCUGUUUUUGCGACAAGUCAGGUUUGCUCUUGAACUAGGAAUUUAAUUCUGAUAUAAAGUGCAUAAGCUUAUAUGGAUUGCAACUUUACAUUUGCUCUUGAACUAGGGAUUGUAACUCCUAGGUUGGAGCCAUAUUUCAGGUUCUCCAUACCAAGGAAUCACCGUCGACCUAUUUUUACACAAACAAAUUUACUUCUUCUUUUCAAUAAAUUGUAGAUGCUUAUGGAGUUGCCAAGUGCCAGGAGGCAAAUCCCGGUGUAUACACAAUCAUCACCUUUCCGUUCCUUUUCGCUAUCAUGUUUGGUGAUUGGGGCCAUGGCAUAUGCAUAUUGCUGGCUUCUUUGUACCUCGUAAUCAGAGAGAAAAAGUAUUCGAGUCAGGUACUCAACUCAUCGAUUUUUGUAUUCAUGAUGAUUGCUUCCUCGUCCUCAUUUUCCAUGCUUGCAUUAAUUUUUUCUUGUUGAUGUCAACGGCAGAAACUUGGAAACAUCAUGCAA
Molecule: non-coding RNA, 756 nt
Organism: Arachis ipaensis
Lineage: Eukaryota; Viridiplantae; Streptophyta; Magnoliopsida; Fabales; Fabaceae
Source: RefSeq, a predicted model, not a curated record